GGUCUGGCAGCAUGCCUGCAAGUUGACAUUCAACAAAUUUGCUCUUUAGCACUGGACAGUUUAUUGAUUCCUCGAUGAAGCAAUCAAACAUCAAUUAAUUGUUACCUUUAGCGGUGUCAUAGAUUCCGAAGUAGGCUGCUCUGUAGAUAAUGAUGCCUUGGACAGACACGUUGAAGCCAAGGUAGAGCCCCUUCAAGCCAUCUGACUUGAAGAUCUUGGUAAGGCAGUUGCCCAAGCCGGUAAACUCUCUCUCGGCAGUACCUUUGCCGAUAUCGGCAGCCAACCGGGUCCUAGCGAAGUCCAGUGGGUACACGAAACAGAGUGACGUAGCACCGGCGGCACCACCUGAUGCCAGGUUUCCAGCGAAGUAGCGCCAGAACUGGGUGUGCUUAUCGACACCGCCAAGGAAGAUCUUCUUGUACUUGUCUUUGAAGGCGAAGUUGAGAGCCUGAGUCGGGAAGUAUCGGAUCACGUUGGCCAAGUUUCCACGCCAGAAACUGAGGAAGCCCUGCUCCUUGGGAAUCCUCACCACGCAGUCUAUGAUGCCUUUGUACUGCAUAUCAACUGUGAUCUGUUUGCUGGCAUGCUGGACCUGGAGGAGGACCAAUUGGUGUUAGUUCACUCCAAGUGAAAUUUAUUCUCCUCAGAUACAUGCGUCUCUGCUGUCUGAUCUUAACAAAUCUCUGGCCUUUCACUACAUCUUUUGAUUCCAAACCAGAUUUCUACGUCUGUCGGGUUGGAUCAGUUACCUAAUUAGUUGGAUUGGAUGUGUCGGAGCAGGAAAACCAGACUCUGACACCAGGUUCAUGGGGGAAUACUUAGUGGUAAAAUUCUCAGUUCUGUGCUAGAAGGUGGCACAGAUGGCACAGUAUGACUAGAAGGUUGUGAGUUCAGAACCGUGGUUGGACCCUUGAGAAAGGGUAUUAACCUUCAGCUAUAUCCUCAAAUAUGUGGCUUUUGACAUGUUACAUUCUUGACCUGCCAUGGACAGUUGAGUUCCAUGGUUUCCAUCAUCUUUUAAUCUCUCAGUUGUUCAUUCGACUUGGCUCCAGUAUAGAUAUUUCACCUUUCUUCCGGGAAAGAUUGGUCUGACCAUGUGCACCAGCCGCAUUGAGGAUUACACCCAUGUGAGGUGGUGUGAGUAUUGGGUUGCAAACCCCAGGCUAUAUUUAGCACUAAACUCACGCCAAGUAUCGUCACUUUAUGCAACCACGUUUUUACCAACCCCUAUGUCCACGCCGUGCUUCUUAAUAACUCAGUCACCAGAAGUUGAAAUUGGAUUAACAUGAUCAGGUAAUUGUCCACUAAUAUCAGCCUAAACUUCCUGCAAUGUCAAAGGACAGUGAACCUUUUGCAGAAGACUUGCGCAAAAAAAAAAAAAAAGCCUUGCAGCGAACACCAUCUCCGACAGUCCCAACUGAUGAUACCAUGAAAAAGAAGUGCUAUAAGUAAUUAGGUAUACCAAAGACUAGAGAGAAUCCGCAAGGUGAAAACCAAGGUUGGUGGAAAGAUCCAGGCCAGGGGUCACGGCCCCAAGGGGCGAGACAAAUUCCAGGAACGAUAAGAAAGAAGGGUACUACGACGUGCACACUUUAAGAGUCUGAAGAAGUAACCACUCUGGCAAAUAUAGAUGAAUGAACUUAUCAAGUGUAUUGAAUUAUGUGUAAUUUGUAGGCUCAUAAGUUACAGUAAAAAAAAAAAGUCACUCUUUGGAUAGUAAUCAGUUCAUUCCAGCUUUGUAAAAGGGUUCUGAAAGGGAAGCCCUCUGUUACCGGGUUCUAUGCAGAAUUUUAAGGGUUCCUCCACCUGGAUUAACCCUUCAGAAGAACCCUUUAGACUGGUGGAUGGAUUUAGUUUUUUCGCCCAACAUCUUUUUGGAUCCAAAUAAAUAUUACGCCUGUCAAUUAAUAAUUAAAUUGAUUACAUCAUAUCGUAAUAUUAAAUAAUGAUUAAAAAAACGUUGUUCAUUUCGAAGGUAAUUGGGAUAAAUUUGCGCGCGCGCACACACUGAGUUACCUGCAGGAGCAGUUUGACCCUCUCGAUGGGCGCGACGGCUGUUUUGGAGAUAGCCGCAGCCACUCCACCUGCCAGGAAAUCCUUCAAAAAGCUGAUGACCGCCUCAGACAUGGUGCCGAUGGUGAGUCUCAGAUAGAGAGAACAUGUACAGCUCAACAGUGAGAGAUGGGAUAGAUUAUAAGGUACGCUUUUAUCAUACGCUGGUUUUCUCCCUCCGCUAAACAAACUAGUGUUCUCUCAGUUCGUAUACUUAUGCACUAUUCUAGACCAUUAUUGAAUACUAAUCUCUUAUUACGCUAUUUAAAAAACCUCUCAUGUCACCUUCAAACCUACCGAAAGGUCUGAUUAGAGUACCAGCCUUCAGGAUUUUCUAGGUUAGUAAACAUUUUUGAGCCUAAUGUCAGAGAUUUUCGAUUGAGACCAAAAUCACGACAACGGUGGAACGUUUGAAGAGCGACAGAGCUCGUCAGAGUGUUUAAUAUUUUUGCGUGUCAAAUCAAUGCACGUUUUAUAGAAACGUGACGCACAAGGUAGGUAGCGAGUGUGUGAACAAUGACUACGUUUACAUGGACAGCAUUAAUCUAAUUAUUGACCUUAAUCUGAGUAAGAUAAUAAUGUGAUUAAGGUGUUUACAUGAGUCGCUUUUAGAAUACUCCUGUCAUGUUCCCGUUUUACAUGUCAUAGACCAUAAUUAGAUUAACAGCACACGUCAUUACGUCACCGCGCCACGCCGUCCGACGUCCCUGCAGAAUUUCACGUGUCAACAUACAGUUCGUCUUUGUUAUGAAACCGUAUACAGUUUUGGGUGUUUUUAUUUAAUUUUUUACGGACGCUUUAAGUGCAGUUAAUUAUUUGUCAUGCCGUACGUGCAAACAGACGACUGCUUGAAGCCAAUGGGUGUGUCACAAAUCGCGUAGUUAACGUCUAUAUAGUAUCCGAGACACAUGUAUUUUUCCCCACUACAGGCCUAUAGUAGGAAAGUAUGCGAUUUGGGACGCAGCCGAACUCUCUUGUUCGCCGUAAAACAGUUGCGCUGCCGUGUGUGAUCGUGUCCUGUCGCACAAUGCGGUGAAAACUCCCACAUGACGCUCAUAAUGUGAUUAAGGUCUGUACAUGUCUGUAAUACACGUCCAUAAUGCGACUAAAACAGGAGUACUCCACCUGUCUUAAUUAGAUUAUUGCUUACUUCGAUUAUGACCUUAAUUAGAUUAAGGUAAAUAAAAAUUGCUGUUUACAUGCUAGUUUCUUAUUUAGAGUAUGGACUUAAUCGGAUUAAGAGGGGAUUAUUGUUGUCCAUGUAAACGCAGCUAAUGUCGCUUGUUGCAUUGCCGCUGAAUCAGCGCACCCCGGCCUGGUGCGAUUAAAUGGAAAAGUUUUCACUAGCCUUCGAUUAUGUGGAUCGUUAAGUUUAGUCGUUACGAUAGAAACGCUAAUGUAUUCGAAUAGAAAGCUGUGAUUUGAAUUUGAGACGGGAGUACUUUCAAAGCUGCUGUUAUUGAAAACCAAUGGGAAUGGAGAAUUCAACAGCGCUCUGGUGUAAUACAGUGUAAUGAAUGCUGUGAUGUACCGUAUAUACUGUAGUAACAUGCUGUAGGUGUAGGUGGCGCCGCAUCAGCGUGAACUUUCACUUCCCCGUCACUGACCAAACAAACAGAGAAGGAAAUCUUUCUCACUUCAUGAAGCUUCCUUCCUGCCAACAAAUGACACACGACCAUGGAGACCUCGGGCUCCCGACUCUUGUACUCAAACUGACUCGAGCUGUAACAGGCUUACGUCCCAUAGUCCUCCUGUGCCCCGGGUCAGCGGGUGCACACACAUCUCAUAAACGCCCGAUUCACGCUUUAUGCAGGAUGUCCACAGCUUAACGGAUUUGGGGAUGGCGAAAAAACCCCCAAAAAAUCCCCACGGGCAAACAGAGUCCAGCGUCUCCAGGAGCGGGAUGAGUCGCUGUAGCAACGGUUGCUGGGACCUGCUGUAAAGCUUCAGUCUCAUAAAGUCACUUUAUUCAGACUCGGGCUAGAACAGGAUGAUAAUCUCACGAGUUUCAGUAUCUCAGUACGUGUCGGCUGCAUUCUUUUUUCUUUUCUUUUUUUUGUUUGUAUAAUUUUCUUAAAGAAAACGACAUAAAAAGGCAUUUAAGACUGAUAAGUUGAUUGCUAAGAUGAUUUUUUUUUAUUGACCAUUUUCUCAGAUGUUUUGUGUUUUUUUUUUAAAAGCAUAAACAUUACCUUAAAGUGAUGUACCUGUAACACACAGGUACGCUUGCGUCCUGCAUAAAAUAAGCUCAAUUUGUUUUCUUAAAUAGUGCGUUUUUGCUGCAAAAGACUGGUUUCAAAAUAAUUGGUACACUUCAGUAUUGUUUAGGGUGUUUACCACAGGCUCAUGCCAGAAAAUACUAACAAAAUGAAAAGACUGUAAAAGAUAAAUGUUUGUUGGAAUUAGGGUUAAUAUUUUUGUUCAGUUUGAGUGGAAAAUGUAAGUCAUUGUGUAUAUUAAUAAUAAUAAUUAUUAUUAUAUUAUUAGUGUUAUCAUCUUCUCUUUCUUGGUUCCUUUUUUCUUUCUUUCCGUCUACAGUUUCCACCAUUUUGUGUGUACAGGAACGUUCGUUAACACGUUUCAGAAGUAUUUAAAGGUGCUGUAGCUCCUCAGCACCUCUCUAUUGCACGAGAGGUCAAAGGUCGGAGUCUGCUGAGGCCCCUCGGUUCUUUAAUUAAACCUUCAGUGUGUGUAUGAAGCUCUGAGGUUAAAGCAGUUGCUCAUUAAAGCCUCAUGUCUCUCUGCACUCUGUGUGUGUGAAGAGCUCGAAGCGCUUCUGUUCCCAAAGUGAAUUCAGUCCUUAAUAGCAGGGCAAGUGGGGACCACCUGAUCAUUUAACUGUGUGUGUGUGUGUGUGUGUGUGUGUGCGCGCAGGGACAUUGAGAAACUCAAUAGGGGAAUCAUUAGUUAAGAGUAGUGCACUCGUGUAAAGCAGGCACUAUCAUGCAGAAAUCUCAGAAAGAACUCAGAAACAACAUAACACAAUAUAAAGUUUAUGAGAAAUUUCCAUGAUUCCUAAUUAAUGCUAAGUGUAAUUACAGUGUAAUAUAAUUCAUAAACAGCCUUUCUGUAGUAUUUUAUCAACACAUCUGAGGUAAAAGUUGAUAUUCUUAACAGUUUUGUUUAAGGUUCACGAUGGCUGUACCUCUGCAUUCCCUGUAAACGGAUUCAUGCUAGCUGAAACGUGAUUAGCCUGCAGUCAAAAGUUAUAAAUAGUCAAGAACUUUUCAUUCAUAUAAGUGAAGUUUGGGUAUCACAAUGCAUCAUGUUAUUUAUUAUUAUUAUUAUAAAUAGAAAUCCUCACUCUAGAGAAAGUCUGGUUAGCAGUCAACGCUAGGUGUAAUUGCCGUGUAAUAUCAACCAAACGGAGUCUUUUCUUAGUAUUUUAUCAACAGAUCUGAGGUAAAUGUUGAUAUUUUUGACAGUUUUGUAUAGUUCCCCUGAUCGCUAUACUUUUACAUUACCCAUAAACAGCUUUAUGCUAGCUAAAACUUGAGUAGCCUGCAGUUAUUUGCUAGGUUAUGCCCACAUAUUGUGUCUAUACUGUAUGUCCCAAUAGCCUAGCAGCAGUGCUCUAACAACUUUUGCUAGUUUUCUCUCAGUAUCUCAAUUUAUCUCAGUUUAUGUCAGGUGCUUAUACAGGUGUGUAUGUGGAUAGCGUUUAAAAGGAGCAUCAGCCGUUUGGAUAACACACAUUUGUAAAGUUUUAUUCUUGUUCUAGGUUUAGUGAUUAAUAUGUUACACACCUGAUUUCUUUACACAGUCCUGUCAGCCUGUGGUCACACUCUCGGUCAGUCUAUUAGAGCUCAAAUAUGUGCGCACAGGUUAUUCAUAACGUUUGAUAAAUCAAUCGGUCAUUCUCUGUGGUUCCUGGACCGAGUGAAUGUUGCAGUAUGUGUGUGUGUGUGUGUGUGUGUGUGUGUGUAUGUGUGUGUGUGUGUGUGUGUGUGUAAUAAAGAGACUUUAAUCCUACGAUUGAGAGAUAUGUGACUGAAAGGUUUGGUCAGUGUGUGUCCAGCCCUUGGCUGAAGGGGUAAUUCGACCUCUUGACCUAAAGGGUCAAUGAACGGCGUAUGCUGAUGGUCUGCUUAUCUGACCAGCUCGCCGACCUCCCGCUGACCCCUCAGUGACCUCUCGAACCCUCUCCGCAGGUUUGGACUAGAGAUUUCCGACAACGAGUUUGAACAGCUGGUGGAAAGACUUUACGUUGUAACUUUUCGGAAAUGUGUAGACGUUUUUAUUGGUUGCCGUCAACACGAGGUACGAGCUCAAGCUCUCGCGCCGUCCUCUAACGAGGAUUUUAGUAUGAAAAAAUAACGUGAUUUAAAUGCUGUCCAGUUUCUCAACUAUUGUUCUGUAAUUCUGCGGAGAGUCGUACGACGAUAAUGCAUGGCGAACACAGGAGCGUACAAAGAAUAUUGUCAAUAUCACGCACUAGCAUUUGAAUGAAAUAUAAAUAAUAACAGCUGUGAUAACAGUUUUUGCACAAACUGAAACUAUUUCGAUAGAUUUUAGUUUCAUACAGCUUCGUCACAGUUUUAAUGUAUAAUGCAGGCUAUUACUGGAUAAUAAUUUUGGAACUGAAAU
Ictalurus punctatus (channel catfish) is the source of this 6639-nucleotide long non-coding RNA. The record is from Ensembl. NCBI's taxonomy places the organism in Eukaryota, Metazoa, Chordata, Actinopteri, Siluriformes, Ictaluridae.